UCAUGGAAGCCGGCAACACUUGAAGCCGCUGAGCCAACGCGCAAGCGAGGCAGGCGUCUAGGGUGAGGCUGGUGACUGGGACG
RNAcentral lists this ribosomal RNA (83 nucleotides) under uncultured bacterium. Its description in RNAcentral is "partial 16S ribosomal RNA". The record is from RNAcentral.